GCCCCUGUAGCUCAGUGGAUAGAGCACUGGCCUCCGGAGCCAGGUGCGGUGGUUCGAUUCCACCCAGGGGUACCA
This 75-nucleotide transfer RNA is filed under the name Sulfidibacter corallicola. RNAcentral's name for it is "Acanthopleuribacteraceae bacterium M133 tRNA-Arg". It matches the Rfam family "tRNA". Rfam says of the family: Transfer RNA (tRNA) molecules are approximately 80 nucleotides in length. The record is from RNAcentral. Lineage: Bacteria; Pseudomonadati; Acidobacteriota; Holophagae; Acanthopleuribacterales; Acanthopleuribacteraceae.